This 452-nucleotide ribosomal RNA is filed under the name uncultured bacterium. RNAcentral's name for it is "bacterial SSU rRNA". It matches the Rfam family "Bacterial small subunit ribosomal RNA", at positions 353 to 793 of the family's 1533-position model. The record is from RNAcentral.
AGUGGGGAAUAUUGCACAAUGGGCGCAAGCCUGAUGCAGCCAUGCCGCGUGUAUGAAGAAGGCCUUCGGGUUGUAAAGUACUUUCAGCAGUGAGGAAGGUGGGUAUGUUAAUAGCAUAUUCAUUUGACCGUUAGCUGCAGAAGAAGCACCGGCUAACUCCGUGCCAGCAGCCGCGGUAAUACGGAGGGUGCGAGCGUUUAAUCGGAAUUACUGGGCGUAAAGCGCAUGCAGGUGGUUUGUUAAGUCAGAUGUGAAAGCCCGGGGCUCAACCUCGGAAUUGCAUUUGAAACUGGCAAACUAGAGUACUGUAGAGGGGGUAGAAUUUCAGGUGUAGCGGUGAAAUGCGUAGAGAUCUGAAGGAAUACCGGUGGCGAAGGCGGCCCCCCUGGACAGAUACUGACACUCCAGAUGCGAAAGCCGUGGGGAGCAAACAGGAUUAGAUACCCUGGUAG